This 76-nucleotide ribosomal RNA is filed under the name Aneurinibacillus migulanus. RNAcentral describes it as "partial 16S ribosomal RNA". The stretch from base 1 to 51 matches the Rfam family "Bacterial small subunit ribosomal RNA", at positions 1483 to 1533 of the family's 1533-position model. Lineage: Bacteria; Bacillati; Bacillota; Bacilli; Caryophanales; Paenibacillaceae. The record is from RNAcentral.
AAGUCGUAACAAGGUAUCCGUACCGGAAGGUGCGGAUGGAUCACCUCCUUUCUAUGGAGACUUCACACUUCGUUUG